UACAGAGGUCUCAAGCGUUGUUCGGAUUCAUUGGGCGUAAAGGGUGCGUAGGUGGCGGGGUAAGUCGGAUGUGAAAUCUCAGGGCUCAACCCUGAAACUGCAUUCGAUACUUCCGAGCUGGAGGUAGGUAGGGGAGAUCGGAAUUCCUGGUGUAGCGGUGAAAUGCGCAGAUAUCAGGAGGAACACCGGUGGCGAAGGCGGAUCUCUGGGCCUUACCUGACGCUGAGGCGCGAAAGCUAGGGGAGCGAACAGG
This 253-nucleotide ribosomal RNA is filed under the name uncultured bacterium. Its description in RNAcentral is "partial 16S ribosomal RNA". It matches the Rfam family "Bacterial small subunit ribosomal RNA", at positions 524 to 776 of the family's 1533-position model. The record is from RNAcentral.